GAAGGGGUCCGAGCGUUGCGCGGAAUCAUUGGGCUUAAAGGGUGCGUAGGGCGGACUUGCAAGUGCUUUGUGAAAUCCCCCGGCUCAACCGGGGAACUGCUGGGCAGACUGCGAGUCUUGAGGUCGGCAGAGGUGGUCGGAACUCUAGGUGUAGCGGUGAAAUGCGUAGAUAUCUAGAGGAACGCCAAAGGUGAAAACAGGCCACUGGGCCGAAUCUGACGCUGAGGCACGAAAGCGUGGGUAGCGAACGGGAUUAGAUACCCCGGUAGUCCACGCCCUAAACGAUGUGCACUAGUUCCCGGAGGUGCUGACACCAUCGGGGACGACGUAAAAACAUUAAGUGCACCGCCUGGGGAGUACGGUCGCAAGGCUA
RNAcentral lists this ribosomal RNA (373 nucleotides) under uncultured organism. RNAcentral describes it as "partial 16S ribosomal RNA". It matches the Rfam family "Bacterial small subunit ribosomal RNA", at positions 526 to 896 of the family's 1533-position model. The record is from RNAcentral.